This 229-nucleotide ribosomal RNA is filed under the name uncultured bacterium. RNAcentral describes it as "partial 16S ribosomal RNA". It matches the Rfam family "Bacterial small subunit ribosomal RNA", at positions 568 to 796 of the family's 1533-position model. The record is from RNAcentral.
UCCGUAGGUGGAUCAAUCAGUCAGAGGUGAAAUCCUGCAGCUUAACUGUAGAACUGCCCUUGAUACUGUUGAUCUUGAGUCAUUAUGAAGUGGUUAGAAUGUGUAGUGUAGCGGUGAAAUGCAUAGAUAUUACACAGAAUACCGAUUGCGAAGGCAGAUCACUAAUAAUGUACUGACACUGAGGGACGAAAGCGUGGGGAGCGAACAGGAUUAGAUACCCUGGUAGUCC